Molecule: long non-coding RNA, 298 nt
Filed under: Mytilus galloprovincialis (Mediterranean mussel)
Lineage: Eukaryota; Metazoa; Mollusca; Bivalvia; Mytilida; Mytilidae
Source: RNAcentral
UUAUAACGAAUGGCAGAACACUUUCACAAAACAGGACAUACCAACAUUUAGAGGUAGACGAGAUUCAAACUGCUUCACUCGUGUUGAUACGUAAUGUACUCUUAAUUGUAAGUCUCUUAAUUUCAACAUUUCAACAAAGACUUUUAAGGAUCAGCAACCGAUACCAAAUUCCCCAAAUAAAAAAAAAAAAAAAAAUACAAUGAUAUUUGACAAAAAAAAAAACGAUUGACAUGCUAAGUUUUAUGACCUCAGACAGACAGAAAGACAUGUGUUCAUAUAAAACAGUGUUGCUUCAGAC